AGUGAACGCUGGCGGUAUGCCUAACACAUGCAAGUCGAACGGCAGCACAGUAAGAUCUUGCUCUUACGGGUGGCGAGUGGCGGACGGGUGAGGAAUACAUCGGAAUCUACUUUUUCGUGGGGGAUAACGGAGGGAAACUUACGCUAAUACCGCAUACUACCUACGGGUGAAAGCAGGGGAUCUUCGGACCUUUCGCGAUUGAAUGAGCCGAUGUCGGAUUAGCUAGUUGGCUGGGUAAAGGCCCACCAAGGCGACGAUCCGUAGCUGGGCUGAGAGGAUGAUCAGCCACACUGGAACUGAGACACGGUCCAGACUCCUACGGGAGGCAGCAGUGGGGAAUAUUGGACAAUGGGCGAAAGCCUGAUCCAGCCAUACCGCGUGGGUGAAGAAGGCCUUCGGGUUGUAAAGCCCUUUUGUUGGGAAAGAAAAGCAGCAGGUUAAUACCCCGCUGUUCUGACGGUACCCAAAGAAUAAGCACCGGCUAACUUCGUG
Molecule: ribosomal RNA, 492 nt
Filed under: uncultured bacterium
Lineage: Bacteria
Description: partial 16S ribosomal RNA
Rfam family: Bacterial small subunit ribosomal RNA
Source: RNAcentral